Molecule: ribosomal RNA, 553 nt
Filed under: uncultured archaeon
Lineage: Archaea
Description: bacterial SSU rRNA
Rfam family: Archaeal small subunit ribosomal RNA
Source: RNAcentral
CGGGGUGCAGCAGGCGCGAAAACUUUACAAUGCUGGAAACAGCGAUAAGGGGACCUCGAGUGCCAGGUUACAAAUCUGGCUGUCGUGAUGCCUAAAAAGCAUUGCAUAGCAAGGGCCGGGCAAGACCGGUGCCAGCCGCCGCGGUAACACCGGCGGCUCGAGUGGUAACCGUUAUUAUUGGGUCUAAAGGGUCUGUAGCCGGCCGGAUAAGUCUCUUGGGAAAUCUGGCAGCUUAACUGUCAGGCUUUCAGGGGAUACUGUCUGGCUCGAGGCCGGGAGAGGUGAGAGGUACUUCAGGGGUAGGGGUGAAAUCUUGUAAUCCUUGAAGGACCACCAGUGGCGAAGGCGUCUCACCAGAACGGACCUGACGGCAAGGGACGAAAGCUAGGGGCACGAACCGGAUUAGAUACCCGGGUAGUCCUAGCCGUAAACGAUACUCGCUAGGUGUCGGCCACGGUGCGACCGUUGUCGGUGCCGUAGGGAAGCCGUGAAGCGAGCCACCUGGGAAGUACGGCCGCAAGGCUGAAACUUAAAGGAAUUGGCGGGGGAGCAC